UCUCGCAUACGAUGUGCAGAAAGAAUCACUCUACAAAGUUACAAAGAUAAGUGUCUAAUGCUAAUGUAAGAAGCACAACCAAACUAGACAACAAUAAAAGAACUAGUCUCUAACACCCAUACAUAGAAGAGAGCACCAACUAGUGUAACUAAAGGCGGAAGUAAGCUAAUUAGCUUUCAACCAUAAAAAUGACAUUAACUUAACAUUGUCCAACAAAUAAUCUUUAGAGACAAAGCCAUAGUUACACGGUCCAUAAAAUUAAUAAAAGAAGAAUAAAUAUUUAAUACAAUUUUUUUGGAAGAAAAUAUUUAAUACAAUUAUUGAGUGUCAACGCAAUAGCUGGCUGAUAACCACUAAAUAUUUUAUUAUAAGGUUUAUUGCAUAGAUGUUUUGAUAUUGUAAUUACUCAUUAUCCCAUCAUGGUGUAGGUGUUACUGGUCUCUUGGGAUACCAGGAUAUCUAGGUUCCUUUGGGUUUUUUCCAACAUUGAUACAUUGGUUGUUAAUGCAAUCAAAAAUAAAGUACUGACUUUUGAAACAAUCUUCAACAGUCUCACACCAAACGUACGCUGUAAUGAAAAAAGAAAAGAAAAAUAAUUUUACUAAAAUGAGGUAAAAGAAUUUGGACGAUCUACUAACUAAUGAAGAAAACUUCAAAAGAAUGAAAAAAUGGCUUACCAUCAACAUUCUUUGCAACAAGAAAUAAGGAAAAAAAUAAAACCAUUGUAUACAUAACUUUUAGAGUUUUAGCCAUAUUUCUCUCUCUUU
RNAcentral lists this long non-coding RNA (767 nucleotides) under Medicago truncatula (barrel medic). Its description in RNAcentral is "lncRNA gene3429". Lineage: Eukaryota; Viridiplantae; Streptophyta; Magnoliopsida; Fabales; Fabaceae. The record is from RNAcentral.